This is a non-coding RNA of Schistocerca piceifrons (Central American locust), 73 nucleotides long. The record is from the annotation of a RefSeq genome assembly. Lineage: Eukaryota; Metazoa; Arthropoda; Insecta; Orthoptera; Acrididae.
UGCCGGAUGGCGCAAUGGUUACCGCACCUGCCUAGGAAGCAGGAGAUCCCGGGUUCGAAUCCUGGUCUGGUAC